Molecule: ribosomal RNA, 301 nt
Filed under: uncultured bacterium
Lineage: Bacteria
Description: partial 16S ribosomal RNA
Rfam family: Bacterial small subunit ribosomal RNA
Source: RNAcentral
CAGUCGCCACGGUAAUACGGAGGGCGUGAGCGUUACCCGGAUUUACUGGGCGUAAAGGGCGCGUAGGCGGCCUGGGGCGUCCCAUGUGAAAGGCCACGGCUCAACCGUGGAGGAGCGUGGGAUACGCUCAGGCUAGAGGGUGGGAGAGGGUGGUGGAAUUCCUGGAGUAGCGGUGAAAUGCGCAGAUACCGGGAGGAACGCCGAUGGCGAAGGCAGCCACCUGGUCCACUUCUGACGCUGAGGCGCGAAAGCGUUGGGAGCAAACCGGAUUAGAUACCCGCGUAGUCCCUGUCUCUUAUAC